UACGUAGGUGGCAAGCGUUAUCCGGAUUUAUUGGGUUUAAAGGGUGCGUAGGCGGAUUGAUAAGUUAGAGGUGAAAUGUCCGAGCUCAACUCGGGAACUGCCUCUAAUACUGUUGAUCUAGAGAGUAGAUGCGGUAGGCGGAAUGUAUGGUGUAGUGGUGAAAUGCUUAGAGAUCAUACAGAACACCGAUUGCGAAGGCAGCUUACCAAUCUAUAUCUGACGUUGAGGCACGAAAGCGUGGGGAGCAAACAGG
Molecule: ribosomal RNA, 253 nt
Filed under: uncultured bacterium
Lineage: Bacteria
Description: partial 16S ribosomal RNA
Rfam family: Bacterial small subunit ribosomal RNA
Source: RNAcentral